RNAcentral lists this ribosomal RNA (429 nucleotides) under uncultured bacterium. RNAcentral's name for it is "bacterial SSU rRNA". It matches the Rfam family "Bacterial small subunit ribosomal RNA", at positions 355 to 796 of the family's 1533-position model. The record is from RNAcentral.
UCGAGAAUAUUUGGCAAUGGGCGAAAGCCUGACCAUGCGACGCCGCGUGGUUGAUGAAGUCCUUCGGGACGUAAAGACCUUUUAUGUGGGAGGAAGUAAUUGACGUUACCACAUGAAUAAGGGGCUCCUAACUCUGUGCCAGCAGGAGCGGUAAUACAGAGGCCCCAAGCAUUAUCCGGAAUCACUGGGCGUAAAGGGUGUGCAGGCGGCUAUGUUAGUCCUUCGUGAAAGCUUUCGGGCUCAACCCGGAAAACGCGGUGGAAACGGCAUAGCUCAGAGGACGCGAGAGGUAGAGGGAACUCAUGGUGUAGGGGUGAAAUCCGUUGAUAUCAUGGGGAACACCAAAUGCGAAGGCACUCUACUGGCGCGCUCCUGACGCUCAUACACGAAAGCGUGGGAAUCGAACGGGAUUAGAUACCCCCGUAGUCC